UGUGCACGUGCGCGCGUGGUUCGUUCGUUCUGUCUCCAGGCUAGUAAGUACUGAGGGCUUCAUCUAUCUAAAAGGAGUCAUUUCCAUCUGAAUGUGGCAGCACCGGGACACAGCAGCAGAGCGAGUCAACAUCCAGAAGUCUGGAGCCGUGUUUCACUGACAGGCUGUCAGACUAACGCCCUGAUGAGCUCAGCAGGGACAAACUGGUCUGAUGUUUAGGAACACAGAACGUUCAGAUGUUGGCGUUUCACGUCACCUACUGAGGAAGGAGACCCACCAGUAAAGAGACGGUCUGGACCAGACCAAAAAUAUGGCGAUGACAUCAUGGAACUGGUCUUUGGAAAAGUUUUCCCUGAACCAACUCCGUUUCUAGAUGAGGUAGAGAAGAUCUGCAUCUCACCAACCCUCUGGUCUCAGUAUUCAGACAACGGAGGUCUCCCACUGUUAUCCAGGACCAGUUUGAAGCCCACAUACUGCCCCUCCCUCAUCAUCAGGAAACAUCAAUCCGUAUCCUGAGGACAACAGAAGACAGCAGGAGGACAGGAACUCUGAGACCUAGACACCACCAGCACCGAGACACAAAGCACCUGUGUGCACAACGCCUGUUUAACUACUAAAGCCUGUUUAUUAUAUAGUUCUACUUAUUUGCUGUGAGGUUAAUACUUAGAAAAUUUGUAUAUUAAUGUAAACAAUAAAAAAAAUCACUGAUUGUAUGCUUUCUUUUAGAUGUAAUGGUCCAAACUCAGCCUUGUAGACAUUUAUUGCAUCCUGUAGGUAAAUACACAGAACAGGCUCAGAUCCAGGAUGACCCAGCAUGCUCUUCUUCCAUUCUGGCUGUUAGGGAUUUUAUCAAUAACUCAAUGCCUACUGAUGUUUUCACCUAACGGUAUUUAUUUAGAAUGCAGGUAAGAUUUAACUAUAUUUGUUAGCAAAGCAGACUGAUCUUGGGAAUUUCACUGCAGCACUGAUAUCCACCUCUCUGUACACGUUAGAGAGAAUUACCACUUUACAGCUAAACACAUUUAAUAAAGAUAUAGGCUACGCAUUGCAGACAAUAAAAACAAAGUUGUAAGCAUUAGAAUUAUAAUGAUCACAUUAAAGAACAUUUGGAGGAA
Non-coding RNA from Nothobranchius furzeri (turquoise killifish), 1115 nucleotides. Lineage: Eukaryota; Metazoa; Chordata; Actinopteri; Cyprinodontiformes; Nothobranchiidae. The record is from RefSeq and is a predicted model, not a curated record.